AUCCAGUUGGCGAGUCCCAAAUAGGACGAAAUGCGCAUCCUAGAU
This 45-nucleotide non-coding RNA is filed under the name Trichobilharzia regenti. Lineage: Eukaryota; Metazoa; Platyhelminthes; Trematoda; Strigeidida; Schistosomatidae. The record is from RNAcentral.